This is a non-coding RNA of Schistosoma haematobium, 45 nucleotides long. The record is from Rfam. Lineage: Eukaryota; Metazoa; Platyhelminthes; Trematoda; Strigeidida; Schistosomatidae.
AUCCAGCUGACGAGUCCCAAAUAGGGCGAAACGUGCUUCCUGGAU